UACGUAGGGUGCGAGCGUUAUUCGGAAUUACUGGGCGUAAAGCGUGCGCAGGCGGUUUUGUAAGUCAGAUGUGAAAUCCCCGGGCUUAACCUGGGAAUGGCAUUUGGGACUGCAAGGCUUGAGUGCGGCAGAGGAGACUGGAAUUCCUGGUGUAGCAGUGAAAUGCGUAGAUAUCAGGAGGAAUACCGAUGGCGAAGGCAGGUCUCUGGGCUGACACUGACGCUCAUGCACGAAAGCGUGGGGAGCAAACAGG
RNAcentral lists this ribosomal RNA (253 nucleotides) under uncultured bacterium. RNAcentral describes it as "partial 16S ribosomal RNA". It matches the Rfam family "Bacterial small subunit ribosomal RNA", at positions 524 to 776 of the family's 1533-position model. The record is from RNAcentral.